GACGAACGCUGGCGGCGUGCUUAACACAUGCAAGUCGAACGGAAAGGCCCUGCUUGCAGGGUACUCGAGUGGCGAACGGGUGAGUAACACGUGGGUGAUCUGCCCUGCACUUCGGGAUAAGCCUGGGAAACUGGGUCUAAUACCGGAUAGGAGCCAUUUUUAGUGUGAUGGUUGGAAAGUUUUUUCGGUGUAGGAUGAGCUCGCGGCCUAUCAGCUUGUUGGUGGGGUAAUGGCCUACCAAGGCGGCGACGGGUAGCCGGCCUGAGAGGGUGGACGGCCACAUUGGGACUGAGAUACGGCCCAGACUCCUACGGGAGGCAGCAGUGGGGAAUAUUGCACGAUGGGCGCAAGCCGGAUGCAGCGACGCCGCGGGGGGGAUGACGGCCUUCGGGUUGUAAACUCCUUUCGCUAGGGACGAAGCUUUUUGUGACGGUACCUAGAUAAGAAGCACCGGCUAACUACGUG
RNAcentral lists this ribosomal RNA (465 nucleotides) under uncultured bacterium. RNAcentral describes it as "partial 16S ribosomal RNA". It matches the Rfam family "Bacterial small subunit ribosomal RNA", at positions 28 to 507 of the family's 1533-position model. The record is from RNAcentral.